GAUGAACGCUAGCGGCAGGCCUAACACAUGCAAGUCGAGGGGUAGUUACUUUCGGGUAAUGAGACCGGCGCACGGGUGCGUAACGCGUAUGCAAUCUACCUUUUACAGGGGAAUAGCCCAGAGAAAUUUGGAUUAAUGCCCCAUAGUAUGUAUGAAUCGCAUGGUUUAUACAUUAAAGUUCCAACGGUAAAAGAUGAGCAUGCGUCCCAUUAGUUAGUUGGUAAGGUAACGGCUUACCAAGACGAUGAUGGGUAGGGGUCAUGAGAGGGAGAUCCCCCACACUAGUACGGAGAAACGGACCAGACUCCUACGGGAGGAAGCAGUGAGGAAUAUUGGACAAUGGGCGCAAGCCUGAUCCAGCCAUGCCGCGUGCAGGAAGAAGCAUCUAUGGUGUGUAAACUGCUUUUGUACGGGAAGAAACACUCCCUCGUGAGGGAGCUUGACGGUACCGUAAGAAUAAGGAUCGGCUAACUCCGUGCCAGCCGCCGCAGUAA
RNAcentral lists this ribosomal RNA (494 nucleotides) under uncultured bacterium. RNAcentral's name for it is "partial 16S ribosomal RNA". It matches the Rfam family "Bacterial small subunit ribosomal RNA", at positions 28 to 523 of the family's 1533-position model. The record is from RNAcentral.